Molecule: ribosomal RNA, 253 nt
Filed under: uncultured bacterium
Lineage: Bacteria
Description: partial 16S ribosomal RNA
Rfam family: Bacterial small subunit ribosomal RNA
Source: RNAcentral
UACGAAGGGGGCUAGCGUUGCUCGGAAUCACUGGGCGUAAAGCGCACGUAGGCGGCUUACUAAGUCAGGGGUGAAAUCCUGGAGCUCAACUCCAGAACUGCCUUUGAUACUGGUAAGCUCGAGUCCGGGAGAGGUGAGUGGAACUGCGAGUGUAGAGGUGAAAUUCGUAGAUAUUCGCAAGAACACCAGUGGCGAAGGCGGCUCACUGGCCCGGUACUGACGCUGAGGCACGAAAGCGUGGGGAGCAAACAGG